UAUAUUUGCAAACUCAACGGAUAUUCCAUUGAUAUACAUAAUAAUCAUUUAAAUAAUAUUGGCAUG
Molecule: non-coding RNA, 66 nt
Submitted as: unclassified sequences
Source: Rfam